RNAcentral lists this long non-coding RNA (789 nucleotides) under Equus asinus (donkey). RNAcentral's name for it is "lncRNA (ENSEASG00005023587.1)". The record is from RNAcentral. Lineage: Eukaryota; Metazoa; Chordata; Mammalia; Perissodactyla; Equidae.
UUGGGCUGUCAUGUGCAGCUCGUCAGAGGGAAGAGGCAGCUGAGGGGCCAGGAGCUCAAUGGCGGCUUCAAUUCCAGCCAGCCUACCUGGCUGUGGCCCAUAGAGAGCCCUGACCCUCGGGGUCUCAGCCCCCCACGCACACUCAUUUUACAGACACGGGAGGCGAAGGAAUGCACUCAGGUAGCUUCGGCCCGGGAGAGAAGAGGUUAGGAGGGCUCUGAACAGGUGGACGCUGGGGCUGCUCGCUGGGUGACAGGUGCGCCCUGCAUCCCCACCCACUCUGAGCUGCUGUGUGGCCCCUCAGUGUUUUCAGAGAAACCCAAACCCCAGGGCAGCCCCUCCCUGCACACUGGGCCACACAGCCCACCUCCUGCCUGUCCACGGGACCCCCGGUCAGAUUUUCCAGGAGCAGAGCAGAGUGGAGCAUACCAGCCACAGGGGGAAGAGCUGCUGGGCCACAAGACGGGCUGAAGCCCCCACCUCUGAGGGCGCUGAGUGUCCUGCACCCCACAGUGCAGCAGCCCAGGACACGACUCUGUACCGGCUGGAGCUCGUUGUCUGGACGCUCUUGGGCUCCAUCCUGCUCGGCCAUCAGUGUUGUCGUCCCCCUCAUCGACGCUGUCUCUGCUGUCUCCGCCAUCUCUGCUGUGUCCGCCGUGUCUGCUGUUGCUGCUGUCUCUGCCUAGCUGAAAUCAAUGCAUCUGCUCAGCUGCUUCACCACUUGAGUUAUUUACAGCUUUGAUCUAAGUGAGCUUUACAUUUUAAGUAAAUCUUCAAAGUUUUACGAAA